GAAACUACUGCUAAGACUGGAUAGGAGACAAGAAGGCAUCUUCUUGUUUUUAAAAGACCUAGCAAUAGGUAUGCUUAGGGAGGAGCUUGCGUCACAUUAGUUAGUUGGUGGGGUAAAGGCCUACCAAGACUAUGAUGUGUAGCCGGGCUGAGAGGUUGAACGGCCACAUUGGGACUGAGACACGGCCCAAACUCCUACGGGAGGCAGCAGUAGGGAAUUUUCGGCAAUGGAGGAAACUCUGACCGAGCAACGCCGCGUGAACGAUGAAGUAUUUCGGUACGUAAAGUUCUUUUAUUAGGGAAGAAUAAAUGAUGGAAAAAUCAUUCUGACGGUACCUAAUGAAUAAGCCCCGGCUAACUAUGUGCCAGCAGCCGCGGUAAUACAUAGGGGGCAAGCGUUAUCCGGAAUUAUUGGGCGUAAAGGGUGCGUAGGCGGUUAAAUAAGUUUAUGGUCUAAGUGCAAUGCUCAACAUUGUGAUGCUAUAAAAACUGUUUAGCUAGAGUAAGAUAGAGGCAAGUGGAAUUCCAUGUGUAGUGGUAAAAUGCGUAAAUAUAUGGAGGAACACCAGUAGCGAAGGCGGCUUGCUGGGUCUUUACUGACGCUGAGGCACGAAAGCGUGGGGAGCAAACAGGAUUAGAUACCCUGGUAGUCCACGCCGUAAACGAUGAGUACUAAACGUUGGGUAAAACCAGUGUUGAAGUUAACACAUUAAGUACUCCGCCUGAGUAGUACGUACGCAAGUAUGAAACUUAAAGGAAUUGACGGGACUCCGCACAAGCGGUGGAUCAUGUUGUUUAAUUCGAAGGUACCCGAAAAACCUCACCAGGUCUUGACAUGCUUCUGCAAAGCUGUAGAAACACAGUGGAGGUUAUCAGUUGCACAGGUGGUGCAUGGUUGUCGUCAGCUCGUGUCGUGAGAUGUUGGGUUAAGUCCCGCAACGAGCGCAACCCUUAUUGUUAGUUACCAGCACGUAAUGGUGGGGACUUUAGCAAGACUGCCAGUGAUAAAUUGGAGGAAGGUGGGGACGACGUCAAAUCAUCAUGCCCCUUAUGACCUGGGCUACAAACGUGAUACAAUGGCUGUUACAAAGGGUAGCUGAAGCGCAAGUUUUUGGCGAAUCUCAAAAAAACAGUCUCAGUUCGGAUUGAAGUCUGCAACUCGACUUCAUGAAGUUGGAAUCGCUAGUAAUCGCGAAUCAGCAUGUCGCGGUGAAUACGUUCUCGGGGUUUGUACACACCGCCCGUCA
Molecule: ribosomal RNA, 1246 nt
Filed under: Carrot yellows phytoplasma
Lineage: Bacteria; Bacillati; Mycoplasmatota; Mollicutes; Acholeplasmatales; Acholeplasmataceae
Description: bacterial SSU rRNA
Rfam family: Bacterial small subunit ribosomal RNA
Source: RNAcentral